Molecule: non-coding RNA, 405 nt
Organism: Arvicola amphibius (Eurasian water vole)
Lineage: Eukaryota; Metazoa; Chordata; Mammalia; Rodentia; Cricetidae
Source: the annotation of a RefSeq genome assembly
CCUCCAUAGUCACUGAGCACAAAGGUCCUAACCAUGGAGUGGAGCUGGAUCAUUCUCUUCCUCACGUCAGCAACUACAGGUGUCCACUCCCAGGUACAGCUGCAGCAGUCUGGGCCUGAGCUUGUGAAGCCUGGGACCUCAGUGAAAUUGUCCUGCAGAACCUCUGAUGAUAUUACUAAAUACUAUAUUAACUGGGUGAAGCAGAGACCUGGUCAGGGCCUGGAGUGGAUUGGAGAUAUUGAUCCUGAAAAUGGUAAUACUGACUAUAAUGAGAAGUUCCAGGGCAAGGCCACACUGACUGCAGACACAUCCUCCAACACAGCCUACAUGGAGCUGAGAAGCCUGACUUCUGAGGACUUUGCGGUCUAUUACUGUGCAACACACAGUGCUGCAACCACAUCCUGA